GAGAAGAGUGUGAGCUCCACGGCUCACACUCUUUGGUGUCCCUGCUAGCUUGUAAACGCUUUGAGGACAGCGACUGUGUUCUGAUCAGUGCAUCAAUGAAUGAAUGAGAGGGAGAAAGGGAAAGAAGAUGAAGAUAUGAUGGCUGAAAUUGGCUGAAGUCAGCACACCCCUCCACUGGCAGCAAUGGCUCCACUGCAGUCGGGCUUUCCCAUGUGGAAGGUGGAAGUUUACAGUUUGGGGUUUACCUGAUUUAGGUUUCUUUUCUCCAUCUUUCUCCCAGUUGGGCGCCUACUGCUCAGAUCUGAGCACAAUGGUGGGCAGUUGAUGGAUAUGGGGAAAUCAUGAAAUAGGUAAAAUGCCAAUGGGCCCACCAUCUCAACAAUUACCAUUCAUCCCAUUCCGUGCGCCCACCAGGAGGUCGAUGCUUGCCCCAGAAGCAAAACCUCCAGGGAAAAAAUUAAAACACUUGUCUAUGAAACAGGUGGCCAGCCCCAUACCAAGCAGCAUGCUACCAAAUGCCAGUCUUAGUGGGGUUCAGGAAGGAGCUGGGAAGAGAGGGUUUUGUGGCUGGCUGGAAAAUGGAGAAGCGUAUAAAUUGGGUCCAGGGAUGGCCUAAAAGUGGUCUGUAGACCUCCCAGAAAUUCAAAUGGCAGCUACUAUCAAUUUUUUUUUUUGUCUCUUUAGCUUUGCCUUUUCCAGAAUGUCAUAUAAAUGAACUAAUACAGCAUACAGCCUUUUGAGAAUAAACUUCUUUCAAUUAAUAGAAUGCAUUUGAGAUUCAUCCACCUGGUUGCAUUUAUCAGCAAUGCUUUCAUUUUUACUGCUGAGUAGUAUUCCACUGUAUAGAUGUAAGAAUAUUUGUUUAUCUGUUCCUGGUUUUCAGUGAUUGUAUGUCAAGCUUCUGUAAACAUUCAUGCAUGACUUUUUGUAUGAUUAUACACUUUUAUUUCUCUUAGAAAAAUACUUAGGAGGGGACUGCUGGGUCAUAUCAUAAGUAUAUGAGUUUUUGAAAGUCACUGCCAAAAUGUUUUCUUGAGUGGCUGUAUCAUUUUACAUUCUUGCCAGCAAUGUUCCAAUUACUCUAUACCUUUACCAGCAUUUGGAAUGCCAGUUCUUUUGAUUUUAGCCAUUCUAAUAGGUGGGUAGUGAUAUUUAGUGGUUUCAGUUUGCAUUUCUUUAAUGAUUAAGCCUUAUUUAUCAUUUAGGUGUUUUAUCACUUAUAGAUUCUAGGAGGUUUUUAUAAAUUCCUUGGGAUUUCUGUGUAGACCACCAUGUCAUCUGAAAACAGGGACAAUUUUAGUUCUUCCUAAUCAGUAUUCCUUUUAUUCCCUUUUUAAAUAACCAUGGUGAGAGCACAUAUCUGGUCUUAAUUGCUCAUCUUAGGAGGAAAGCAUUCAGUCUUGCACAUUAAGUAGAAAUAUUAGCUGAAGAUAUUUAUUUUUGUGGGUAUUAUGGUAGACAGCUUUUAAGAGGGUCCUUAAUGAUCCCUGCCUCCUGAUACCUGUGCCCUUUUAUACUCCCCUUUUCUAGAUUUGAUAUAGGAAAAGAACAUGCCAAAAGUGAUGAAAUAUCUCUUUUGAGAUUAGGUUACAAAAAGACUGUGACUUCCCCCUUGGGUACUCUUUUGUGGUCUCUUGUUCACUUGCUCUGAAGGAAGCCAGGUGCCAUGUUGUCAGCUAUUCUAUGGAAAGGAACUGAGAGAGGCCCACAGCUAGGGAAGAAUUGAGGCCUCCUGUCCAACAAUUCCAUGAGAAAGUGAAUACUACCAAUAACUAUGUGAGUGAGCUUGGAAGUGGAUCACCCAGUGAGUCUUAAGAUCUUGAGACUGGAGUCCCAGACAACAAGUUAAGUUCAACCUUGUGAGAAACCUUGAGCCAGAGGCACUUAGCUAAGUCAUACCCGGAUUCCUAACCUACAAAAGUUGAGAUGAAUGUUUGCUGUUGAGUUUGGGGGUAAUUUGUUAUGCAGCCAUAUAUAACUAACAGAAGCCUUUUAUCAGGUUGAGAAAGUUAUUUUAAUUCCUAGUUUGCUUUGUUUUUUAAAAUCAUGAAUGAAUAUUUGUCAAACUCUUUUCUUUGUGGUUGCACAUGCCUGCAGUCCCAGCAACUUGCAAGGCUGAUGCAGGAGGAUCACAAGCUUCAGUAACUUAGUGAAACCUGUCUCAAAAAAUAAAAAGGACUAAGAAUGUAGCCUAGGAUAAAGCCACUCUGGGUCCCUAGAUUCCAUCCCAGUACCAAAUCAACAACAACAGCAACUUAAUCUAUAUAUCAUAUUAUUUUUCUUAUUAAGUUUGUUGCUACAGUAAAUUACACUGAUAUUUAAAAUGUGGAGCCAGGCAUGGUGGUACACAGCUGCAAUACCAGUGGUUCAUGAGGCUGAGGCAGGAAACACUUUUGAAAUCAUUUUAGGAGAUCAGCAUUACCCUGAUACCAAGAGUAGACAAAAAACUAUAGCUCAGUAUCUCUCAGAAACAUUGAACAUUCUCAAUAAAAUACUCCAAUUCCAUUCAACAGUACGUUAGAAUGAUAGAACAUGAUAAAUAAGUUGGGUUUAUCCUAACAAUGAGAGGCUGGGUCCAUAUAUAUAUAUAUUCUUUUUUUUGGCACUGGGGAUUGAACCCACGGGCGCUUUACCAUUGAGCUACCUCCCCUGUCCUUUUUAUUUUUUAUUUUGAGACAGGGUCUUUGGCUAAGUUGCUGAGGCUAGACUUGAAUUGUCUUAACCUUGCUUCUGUCUUAACCUCCUGAGUCUCUGGGAUUAUAGGCAUGAGCCAUUGUGCCCCAAGGUAUUUUCCUUUGAAGUACCACUCCAAAGGCAUCACAGAAAUCUUGAUAUGUUGUAUUUUUAUUUUUAUUCUGUUCAAAAUAUUUUCUAAUUUCCCUUGUGACUUUCUGCUUGACCCAUGGGUUAUUUUGAAAUGUGUUGUUUAAAUUCCAGCUAUUUGGGGAUUUUCCAGAUAUCUCUCGGUUAUUGAGUCCCAGUUUAAUUCCAGUGUUUUCUGAGAACUUAUUUUGUAGGAUUUAAAUUCUUUAAAAUGUGUUGAAGUUGGCUUUAUGGCCCAGGAUGUGGUCUAUGUUGGUAAAUGUUUCUGACAAUUAAAUGUUUUGAAAUGAAAUGAGAAAAUCAGUGUGAAUUUCU
This 3138-nucleotide long non-coding RNA is filed under the name Marmota monax (woodchuck). Lineage: Eukaryota; Metazoa; Chordata; Mammalia; Rodentia; Sciuridae. The record is from RNAcentral.